AUUGAACGCUGGCGGCAGGCCUAACACAUGCAAGUCGAGCGGAUGAAGGGAGCUUGCUCCUGGAUUCAGCGGCGGACGGGUGAGUAAUGCCUAGGAAUCUGCCUGGUAGUGGGGGAUAACGUCCGGAAACGGGCGCUAAUACCGCAUACGUCCUGAGGGAGAAAGUGGGGGAUCUUCGGACCUCACGCUAUCAGAUGAGCCUAGGUCGGAUUAGCUAGUUGGUGGGGUAAAGGCCUACCAAGGCGACGAUCCGUAACUGGUCUGAGAGGAUGAUCAGUCACACUGGAGCGAAAACAGGGUCAAGACUCCUCGGGGGGGAGGCGGGGGGGAAUUUUGGAAAAGGGGCGAAGGCCUGACCCAGCCGUGCGGCGGGUGUAAAGAAGGUCUUGGGUUUGUAAACCUCUUUAAGUGGGGGGGAAGGGAAGUAAGUAAAUACCUUGUUGUUUGAACGUUCCAAAAAAAAAAAGCCCCGGCAAACUUCGUC
RNAcentral lists this ribosomal RNA (484 nucleotides) under uncultured bacterium. Its description in RNAcentral is "partial 16S ribosomal RNA". It matches the Rfam family "Bacterial small subunit ribosomal RNA", at positions 30 to 507 of the family's 1533-position model. The record is from RNAcentral.